GAUGAACGCUAGCGAUAGGCCUAACACAUGCAAGUCGAGGGGCAUCACAUGAAGUAGCAAUACGGAUGGUGGCGACCGGCGCACGGGUGAGUAACACGUAUGCAACCUGCCUUCAACAAGGGGAUAACCCGUUGAAAGACGGACUAAUACCCUAUAACACAGGGGUCCCGCAUGGGAAUAUUUGUUAAAGGACAACCGGUUGAAGAUGGGCAUGCGUUCCAUUAGCUAGUUGGCGGGGUAACGGCCCACCAAGGCAACGAUGGAUAGGGGAACUGAGAGGUUUAUCCCCCACACUGGUACUGAGACACGGACCAGACUCCUACGGGAGGCAGCAGUGAGGAAUAUUGGUCAAUGGACGCAAGUCUGAACCAGCCACGUCGCGUGAAGGAA
RNAcentral lists this ribosomal RNA (390 nucleotides) under uncultured bacterium. RNAcentral's name for it is "bacterial SSU rRNA". It matches the Rfam family "Bacterial small subunit ribosomal RNA", at positions 28 to 409 of the family's 1533-position model. The record is from RNAcentral.